Molecule: transfer RNA, 71 nt
Filed under: Candidatus Woesearchaeota archaeon
Lineage: Archaea; Nanobdellati; Candidatus Woesearchaeota
Description: tRNA-His
Rfam family: tRNA
About the family: Transfer RNA (tRNA) molecules are approximately 80 nucleotides in length. Their secondary structure includes four short double-helical elements and three loops (D, anti-codon, and T loops).
Source: RNAcentral
GCGGCUGUAGUAUAAUGGUAGUAUACAGGACUGUGGAUCCUGGGACCCGGGUUCGAUUCCCGGCAGUCGCC